Molecule: ribosomal RNA, 254 nt
Filed under: uncultured bacterium
Lineage: Bacteria
Description: partial 16S ribosomal RNA
Rfam family: Bacterial small subunit ribosomal RNA
Source: RNAcentral
UACGUAGGGUCCGAGCGUUGUCCGGAAUCAUUGGGCGUAAAGGGCGCGUAGGUGGCCCGGUCAGUCAGUGGUGAAAGCGCGGGGCUCAACCCUGCGUCGGCCAUUGAUACUGCCGCGGCUCGAGCACUGUAGAGGCAGGCGGAAUUCCGGGUGUAGCGGUGGAAUGCGUAGAGAUCCGGAAGAACACCGGUGGCGAAGGCGGCCUGCUGGGCAGCGGCUGACACUGAGGCGCGACAGCGUGGGGAGCAAACAGG